CAAUAGCGUAUAUUAAAGUUGUUGCGGUUAAAAGCUCGUAAGUUGGUUUCUGUCGAGGACAGCCGGUCCACACUUUGUGUGAGUUAUCUGGUUUGGCCUUGGCAUUCCUCUUGAAAACAGCUACUGCGCUUGAUUGCGUGGACUGGAGUUCAAGACUUUUACUUUGAGGAAAUUAGAGUGUUCACGGCAGGCAAACGCCUUGAAUAUAUUAGCAUGGAAUAAUAAUAUAGGACCUUUGUUCUAUUUUGUUGGUUUCUAGAGCGAAGGUAAUGAUUAAUAGGGAUAAUUGGGGCGAUUCGUAUUAACGCGUCAGAGGUGGAAUUCUUGGAUUGCGUUACGACGAACUACUGCGAAAGCAUUUGCCAAGGAU
RNAcentral lists this ribosomal RNA (370 nucleotides) under uncultured eukaryote. Its description in RNAcentral is "bacterial SSU rRNA". It matches the Rfam family "Eukaryotic small subunit ribosomal RNA", at positions 592 to 965 of the family's 1831-position model. The record is from RNAcentral.